GACGAACGCUGGCGGCGUGCCUAACACAUGCAAGUCGAGCGAUGAAACCCUUCGGGGUGGAUUAGCGGCGGACGGGUGAGUAACACGUGGGUAACCUGCCUCAAAGAGGGGGAUAGCCUCCCGAAAGGGAGAUUAAUACCGCAUAACAUUAUUUCUUCGCAUGAAGAGAUAAUCAAAGGAGUAAUCCGCUUUGAGAUGGACCCGCGGCGCAUUAGCUAGUUGGUGAGGUAAUGGCUCACAAAGGCGACGAUGCGUAGCCGACCUGAGAGGGUGAUCGGCCACAUUGGAACUGAGAUACGGUCCAGACUCCUACGGGAGGCAGCAGUGGGGAAUAUUGCGCAAUGGGGGAAACCCUGACGCAGCAACGCCGCGUGGGUGAAGAAGGCCUUCGGGUUGUAAAGCUCUGUCUUCUGGGACGAUAAUGACGGUACCAGAGGAGGAAGCCACGGCUAACUACGUGCCAGCAGCCGCCGUAA
RNAcentral lists this ribosomal RNA (476 nucleotides) under uncultured bacterium. RNAcentral describes it as "partial 16S ribosomal RNA". It matches the Rfam family "Bacterial small subunit ribosomal RNA", at positions 28 to 523 of the family's 1533-position model. The record is from RNAcentral.